AGAAUCAACGCUGGCGGCGUGCCUCAGACAUGCAAGUCGAACGAUUAAACUUUCCUUCGGGAAAGAUAUAAAGUGGCGCACGGGUGAGUAACACGUAAGUAAUCUACCUUCGAGUGGGGAAUAACGUUCGGAAACGGACGCUAAUACCGCAUAAUGCAGCGGCAUCGCAAGAUGACAGUUGUUAAAGGAUUUAUUCGCUUGAAGAGGAGCUUGCGGCAGAUUAGCUUGUUGGUAAGGUAACGGCUUACCAAGGCUACGAUCUGUAUCCGGUCUAAGAGGACGGUCGGACACACUGACACUGAAGUAACGGGUCAGACUCCGUACGGGAGGCAGCAGGUCGGGAAUUUGGGCAAGUGGGACGAAAGCCUAGACCCAGACCAACGCCGCGUAGAAGAUGAAGUA
RNAcentral lists this ribosomal RNA (402 nucleotides) under uncultured soil bacterium. RNAcentral's name for it is "bacterial SSU rRNA". It matches the Rfam family "Bacterial small subunit ribosomal RNA", at positions 26 to 415 of the family's 1533-position model. The record is from RNAcentral.